Molecule: non-coding RNA, 112 nt
Organism: Podospora conica
Lineage: Eukaryota; Fungi; Ascomycota; Sordariomycetes; Sordariales; Podosporaceae
Source: the annotation of a GenBank genome assembly
GCCUCCAUGGCUCAGUGGUAGAGCGUCUCACUAGUACUACUCCUCUUGAUCAUCUCAAGCGGGGGACGACUGACAUAUGAGAAGGUCAGCGGUUCGACUCCGCUUGGAGGCA